GCGUAGUCGAUGGGAAACAGGUUAAUAUUCCUGUACUUGGUGUUACUGCGAAGGGGGGACGGAGAAGGCUAUGUUGGCCGGGCGACGGUUGUCCCGGUUUAAGCGUGUAGGCUGGUUUUCCAGGCAAAUCCGGAAAAUCAAGGCUGAGGCGUGAUGACGAGGCACUACGGUGCUGAAGCGACAAAUGCCCUGCUUCCAGGAAAAGCCUCUAAGCAUCAGGUAACAUCAAAUCGUACCCCAAACCGACACAGGUGGUCAGGUAGAGAAUACCAAGGCGCUUGAGAGAACUCGGGUGAAGGAACUAGGCAAAAUGGUGCCGUAACUUCGGGAGAAGGCACGCUGAUAUGUAGGUGAAGCGACUUGCUCGUGGAGCUGAAAUCAGUCGAAGAUACCAGCUGGCUGCAACUGUUUAUUAAAAACACAGCACUGUGCAAACACGAAAGUGGACGUAUACGGUGUGACGCCUGCCCGGUGCCGGAAGGUUAAUUGAUGGGGUUAGCGGUAACGCGAAGCUCUUGAUCGAAGCCCCGGUAAACGGCGGCCGUAACUAUAACGGUCCUAAGGUAGCGAAAUUCCUUGUCGGGUAAGUUCCGACCUGCACGAAUGGCGUAAUGAUGGCCAGGCUGUCUCCACCCGAGACUCAGUGAAAUUGAACUCGCUGUGAAGAUGCAGUGUACCCGCGGCAAGACGGAAAGACCCCGUGAACCUUUACUAUAGCUUGACACUGAACAUUGAGCCUUGAUGUGUAGGAUAGGUGGGAGGCUUUGAAGUGUGGACGCCAGUCUGCAUGGAGCCGACCUUGAAAUACCACCCUUUAAUGUUUGAUGUUCUAACGUGGGCCCCUUACCGGGGUUGCGGACAGUGUCUGGUGGGUAGUUUGACUGGGGCGGUCUCCUCCUAAAGAGUAACGGAGGAGCACGAAGGUUGGCUAAUCCUGGUCGGACAUCAGGAGGUUAGUGCAAUGGCAUAAGCCAGCUUGACUGCGAGCGUGACGGCGCGAGCAGGUGCGAAAGCAGGUCAUAGUGAUCCGGUGGUUCUGAAUGGAAGGGCCAUCGCUCAACGGAUAAAAGGUACUCCGGGGAUAACAGGCUGAUACCGCCCAAGAGUUCAUAUCGACGGCGGUGUUUGGCACCUCGAUGUCGGCUCAUCACAUCCUGGGGCUGAAGUAGGUCCCAAGGGUAUGGCUGUUCGCCAUUUAAAGUGGUACGCGAGCUGGGUUUAGAACGUCGUGAGACAGUUCGGUCCCUAUCUGCCGUGGGCGCUGGAGAACUGAGGGGGGCUGCUCCUAGUACGAGAGGACCGGAGUGGACGCAUCACUGGUGUUCGGGUUGUCAUGCCAAUGGCACUGCCCGGUAGCUAAAUGCGGAAGAGAUAAGUGCUGAAAGCAUCUAAGCACGAAACUUGCCCCGAGAUGAGUUCUCCCUGACUCCUUGAGAGUCCUGAAGGAACGUUGAAGACGACGACGUUGAUAGGCCGGGUGUGUAAGCGCAGCGAUGCGUUGAGCUAACCGGUACUAAUGAACCGUGAGGCUUAACCUU
RNAcentral lists this ribosomal RNA (1538 nucleotides) under Escherichia coli. Its description in RNAcentral is "partial 23S ribosomal RNA". It matches the Rfam family "Bacterial large subunit ribosomal RNA", at positions 1409 to 2925 of the family's 2925-position model. The record is from RNAcentral. Lineage: Bacteria; Pseudomonadati; Pseudomonadota; Gammaproteobacteria; Enterobacterales; Enterobacteriaceae.